GAUGAACGCUGGCGGCGUGCCUAAUACAUGCAAGUAGAACGCUGAAGGAAGGAGCUUGCUCUUUCCGGAUGAGUUGCGAACGGGUGAGUAACGCGUAGGUAACCUGCCUGGUAGCGGGGGAUAACUAUUGGAAACGAUAGCUAAUACCGCAUAACAGUAGAUGUUGCAUGAUAUCUACUUAAAAGGUGCAAUUGCACCACUACCAGAUGGACCUGCGUUGUAUUAGCUAGUUGGUGAGGUAACGGCUCACCAAGGCGACGAUACAUAGCCGACCUGAGAGGGUGAUCGGCCACACUGGGACUGAGACACGGCCCAGACUCCUACGGGAGGCAGCAGUAGGGAAUCUUCGGCAAUGGACGGAAGUCUGGCCGAGCAACGCCGCGUGAGUGAAGAAGGUUUUCGGAUCGUAAAGCUCUGUUGUAAGAGAAGAACGAGUGCGAGAGUGGAAAGUUCACACUGUGACGGUAUCUUACCAGAAAGAGACGGCUAACUACGUG
RNAcentral lists this ribosomal RNA (497 nucleotides) under uncultured bacterium. RNAcentral's name for it is "partial 16S ribosomal RNA". It matches the Rfam family "Bacterial small subunit ribosomal RNA", at positions 28 to 507 of the family's 1533-position model. The record is from RNAcentral.